This 579-nucleotide ribosomal RNA is filed under the name Kamalomyces thailandicus. RNAcentral describes it as "eukaryotic LSU rRNA". The stretch from base 203 to 356 matches the Rfam family "5.8S ribosomal RNA". The record is from RNAcentral. Lineage: Eukaryota; Fungi; Ascomycota; Dothideomycetes; Tubeufiales; Tubeufiaceae.
AUUACUGAGUAAAUGGGUCUUUUAUAGGUCCAUACUCCCCACCCUUUGUGUACCAAACCAUUUAUUUAGUUGCCUUGGCGGGGUUGCCUUCUAAGUUGGGGAUUAUCCCCUUUGUUAGGCUUAUGGGCUACUGCCAAGGGAACACCCCAUAAACUCUUUAUUGAAUUGGGCUGUCUGAGUUUUUGAAAUUCAAAUGAAUUAAAACUUUCAACAACGGAUCUCUUGGUUCUGGCAUCGAUGAAGAACGCAGCGAAAUGCGAUAAGUAAUGUGAAUUGCAGAAUUUAGUGAAUCAUCGAAUCUUUGAACGCACAUUGCGCCCUUUGGUAUUCCGAGGGGCAUGCCUGUUCGAGCGUCAUUUCAAACCCUCAAGCUCUAGCUUGGUAUUGGGCUUUUGUCCUUUCUAGAAAGGGACAUGCCUAAAACUCAUUGGCAGUGGUACUUAGCUUCUUAGUGUAGUCAUAUCUAUUCCACUCUGAAGUCUUCUAGGUAACUCUAGCUAACCAAAUUUGUAUAUUUCUAUGGUUUGACCUCGGAUCAGGUAGGGAUACCCGCUGAACUUAAGCAUAUCAAUAAGCGGG